AACGCACCUUGCGCCCCUUGGCAUUCCGAGGGGCACACCCGUUUGAGUGUCGUGAAAUUCUCAAAACCUUUUCUUUGGUCUUUCGACCGGGUUUAGCGUUUUGGACUUGGAGGCUUUUUGCUGGUUUCACCUUGAAGCGAGCUCCUCCUAAAUGGAUUAGCGGGGUCUGCUUUGCCGAUCCUUGACGUGAUAAGAUGUUUCUACGUCUCGGGUUUGGCACUGUCCCUUGGGCACCUGCUUCUAACCGUCUCAUCGACAAUGAUGGCGUUCCGGUCACCACCGUUUCAUCGGUGGGAGGCUCGACCCACGAAACAAAGCUUGACCUCAAAUCGGGUGGGACUACCCGCUGAACUUAA
Molecule: unclassified non-coding RNA, 356 nt
Filed under: uncultured Russula
Lineage: Eukaryota; Fungi; Basidiomycota; Agaricomycetes; Russulales; Russulaceae
Description: partial contains 5.8S ribosomal RNA, internal transcribed spacer 2, and large subunit ribosomal RNA
Source: RNAcentral